Molecule: ribosomal RNA, 375 nt
Filed under: uncultured organism
Description: partial 16S ribosomal RNA
Rfam family: Bacterial small subunit ribosomal RNA
Source: RNAcentral
GUAGGGUGCAAGCGUUAUCCGGAAUCAUUGGGCGUAAAGAGCUCGUAGGCGGUUCAGCAAGUCGGCUGUGAAAUCCCGAGGCUUAACCUCGGAACUGCAGUCGAUACUGCUGUGACUAGAGUCCGGUAGAGGAGAAUGGAAUUCCCGGUGUAGCGGUGAAAUGCGCAGAUAUCGGGAGGAACACCAGUAGCGAAGGCGGUUCUCUGGGCCGGUACUGACGCUGAGGAGCGAAAGCGUGGGGUAGCAAACAGGAUUAGAUACCCUGGUAGUCCACGCCGUAAACGUUGGACACUAGGUGUGGCGUUCCGACCAACGGGUGCCGUGCUGAAGCUAACGCAUUAAGUGUCCCCGCCUGGGAGUACGGCCGCAAGGCUA